RNAcentral lists this long non-coding RNA (247 nucleotides) under Homo sapiens (human). RNAcentral describes it as "non-protein coding lnc-FBXO5-4:1". The record is from RNAcentral. Lineage: Eukaryota; Metazoa; Chordata; Mammalia; Primates; Hominidae.
GCUGAAGAAAAAGCUGAUCAGCGCAGGCCGGUGUUGAACCGCAAGCAGCGUCUGAGGCACUGGGUGGUCGAAGCUGUGAUAGAUCAAGCGCUGAUCACGCGGCACCACCUCAAGAAGCAGGCAUCCAGUGCACGUGCCAACAUUACUCUGUAGGGGAAGAAGCCUAGAAAACUCCUCCGGCAGAUCCGGCUUGCCCAGAUGGAGAAGGCAGCCAUGGAGGUGGAAGCCCGUCAAAGCCAGCCAGGAC